AAAAAGAUAAAUCAUGAGUUUUCAUGUUCAAAGUUUGACUGUCCAUCUUAUAUAAUUUUUUUAUAAUUAGUAUUUUAAUUAUUGUUAGAUGAUAAAACAUGAUUAAUAUUUUAUGUGCGAUUUGUCUUUUUAUUUUUUUUCAUAAUUUUUUUAAAUAAGACGUCAAACGUUGGAUACGGAAACCUAGGGUUUGUCUUUUU
Molecule: microRNA precursor, 200 nt
Filed under: Oryza nivara
Lineage: Eukaryota; Viridiplantae; Streptophyta; Magnoliopsida; Poales; Poaceae
Description: MIR812 microRNA precursor family
Rfam family: MIR812 microRNA precursor family
Source: Rfam by way of RNAcentral